Molecule: long non-coding RNA, 1917 nt
Organism: Neofelis nebulosa (Clouded leopard)
Lineage: Eukaryota; Metazoa; Chordata; Mammalia; Carnivora; Felidae
Exons: 3
Source: RefSeq, a predicted model, not a curated record
GGUGCCCUCUGCCCCCAGGCCUCGUGUUCAGGCCCCUCUGCGGUGUGCGGAGGGAGACCAAGUGCCACUGACCUCAGACAGCAUGAGACUGGUUCAGGGGAGCAGGCCCAGUGCUUCAUCACGCAGUCCUGACACCGUAAAAAUUAGGUUUCCCGAUGUCAUUAGUGCUUUGUGAUCAGCUCCAUUUGUAUCAUGCCUGCCCUGUUGCCUCAUCUCUGCUAAUUGUUUUACUCACUCCUUCCAUUUUUAAACUGCUGUCUUGUUGGCUUUUAAUUUUUAAUUAUUGCUGCCUCCCCUUCCUUCUUAAUUGGUCCAGGCCCCUACUGAGGUUCCCUGUGCUGUGGCUGCAGCUGGCUCCCUCAGGGUGUCUGUCGCUUGCCCACCACGUGCCCUAGCUGGCCCUGGGUGGUCACAGCCUUACUCUGGAGAUCGGCCUCACACCUGGCUCCUGGUGCAGUGAAGUCAUCUCCAUCUGAGCCCUUUCUCCAAAUAGACAUUGGGCACCAACUGUACGGAGUUAUGGGUACAGUGAUCCUUAGAGGAUGUGAAUGACCCAACCCACCCUAGAAUCACCUUUGUCCUGUUGUGGGCUUUUCUGGGGUUGGCAGGAGUCUGGAGGGGGACAUAACUACCUCCUCUCCCACCUCCCAACCACUUGCCACCCCAGUCCUGCUUUCCUCAUAGCCCUCGGCCUCUGAGGUUUACUGUAAUGGAUACCAGCCUCCUUCCCAACUGCCCAAAGCCCUGAGGUCAUUCUCAGCCUCACCUCUGAGCCUUUGCUCACACAGGAGCUGGACACUCUCAUGCCAUUUGAUCCCCAGCACAACUCUAUGAACUAGGGGCCAUCAGCCGGCACAAAGACAGAAGGGAUAUGCCUAAGCUCCCACCGCGAAUAACAGCAAAGUAAAAUUUGGACCCAGAGCUGUGGCAGCUAUUCUUGGGGUGGGUUAGUGGGUGCUGGUAAGCCUGGGUGCUCCUGAGGGUCAGGAUGGGCAGCACCAGCCUCGGUCAGCAGUUCUAGCCCACCUGUGCACCAGACUCAUGUUCCAGAUAGCGACACCAGAGUCCAGAGAGGGAAAACGCUUGCCAAAGUCACAUGUGAAUCCUGGUCUAGCAGUGACUCCAUCUGCCAAGCUCCUCCUGACAACCAGGGAGCUGAAUCCCCACUCUGCAAGGGGAAGGCUUGCACGGCUGGCUGGUCUGGGGAACACCAUGGCCACAGGUGGCUGAGGUCUUCUCAUGCUCAGUUAUUCUUCCUCCCUGCCCUGGUUUGUUUGCUUCUUCAGUGGGCUGAGGGGGACGGCAGGGCCAGGAUGGAAAGGAACUUUUCUUGAGCAGCUACACCAUGCCAGGCACAAUGCUGGCAACACUUCAUUCCUGAAGCCACUCUGUUCAGGGAACUAUUAUAGUCCGGGUUUUCAGAUGCACAAUCUGAUGCUUAGAGGGAGCAGUGGCCUGCCCAGGGCCUACCCCUAGGAAUCUGAUGCUCCUCGCUCCCCUGCCAGAGCUGCCUCAGUCUAAGAAUUCUCUCUACUCCAGCGCCUCCUGAGGAGAAAGCAGUGUGGGACCCGUAGUUAGAGCCCCUAGAGCAGGGGCCUCAUCCUCCUCCAUGCCAAGCCAGCAACAGACCUGGCUCACAGCAAGUGUUCUGACAUGUCUGGUGACUGAAUGCAAGAAGAAAAGAAUGUCCCAGCCUCACUUGGCCACUACUGAAUGCAGCCCAGGCACUAAAUGGACCCCUCAUCCAGAAGUACCUUGACUUCAAAGAAGGAUCUGGAGGCCCCUUGGAUACAGUUGGACUUAAGAGUGAGACAGACCUGGGGUCUCCUCCUGCUUGCAGAGGUCCCCUUGCCUACCGUCACUGCCAGAUCCACAACCCUGACUCAGCGGCUUAGCCCAGCUCCCUGCACCUCCCAC